AAUAAGGAUCCAAACUUGCCCUGUUCCACAGGGGAGGCUGUGCGGUGCUUCACACUUCCGUUUCCUAUGAAACUAAAUACAGCCAAACCAUUAGGCACUGAUUGAGAAAGUUAGCCUGUGCAUCACCUUCUGAUGCUAUGGAGACUACCCACCAGGAGAAAGCUUGCAGUUCAGUUCCAGGUUGCUCCAUUUUGCAAUCACGGGUCUGGAUUACUUUGCAUUAUCAAUGUUGACAAUUUCAUGAAUUUUUGUUGCUGUGAUGGAGUCAGACUGUACAUAAAUCUAUCUGUAAAGUGGCAGCUGGACGGAUGCUGUGUGACAGCCAUCACACAGAAGAGAAUGUAACUCACUGACUGCGAGCAGCCAUCCCAGCUCAGGAGCACAGAGCCUCCCUCACAGGUACACUUUAGAAAAGGGUUGUAGAAAACCAACUCCCAAAGCAGAUUCCCAGGCUGAGUCUGGGUAGUUAUUUUUACCUCCUCCUUUCAUCUCAUGAGGAUGUCGCUGAAGCCCUGUUGUGUUACCACAAUCUUGGUCUCCACUUCUUACGAGCAUUAUAACCUCACCAAUUCAUAAGCUCACAUUAAAAUUUCUGAAUCGAAA
This is a long non-coding RNA of Mastomys coucha (southern multimammate mouse), 603 nucleotides long. RefSeq lists it as uncharacterized. Lineage: Eukaryota; Metazoa; Chordata; Mammalia; Rodentia; Muridae. The transcript has 3 exons. The record is from RefSeq and is a predicted model, not a curated record.